GAUGAACGCUGGCGGCGUGCCUAACACAUGCAAGUCGAGCGAAGCACUUACUUUAGAUUUCUUCGGAAUGACGAAGUUUGUGACUGAGCGGCGGACGGGUGAGUAACGCGUGGGCAACCUGCCCUGUACAGGGGGAUAACAGUUAGAAAUGACUGCUAAUACCGCAUAAGCCCACAGCUUCGCAUGAAGCAGUGGGAAAAACUCCGGUGGUACAGGAUGGGCCCGCGUCUGAUUAGCUAGUUGGUAAGGUAACGGCUUACCAAGGCGACGAUCCGUAGCCGACCUGAGAGGGUGACCGGCCACAUUGGGACUGAGACACGGCCCAAACUCCUACGGGAGGCAGCAGUGGGGAAUAUUGCACAAUGGGGGAAACCCUGAUGCAGCGACGCCGCGUGAGCGAUGAAGUAUUUCGGUAUGUAAAGCUCUAUCAGCAGGGAAGAAAGUGACGGUACCUGACUAAGAAGCCCCGGCUAACUACGUG
RNAcentral lists this ribosomal RNA (481 nucleotides) under uncultured bacterium. RNAcentral's name for it is "partial 16S ribosomal RNA". It matches the Rfam family "Bacterial small subunit ribosomal RNA", at positions 28 to 507 of the family's 1533-position model. The record is from RNAcentral.